RNAcentral lists this ribosomal RNA (472 nucleotides) under uncultured bacterium. RNAcentral describes it as "bacterial SSU rRNA". It matches the Rfam family "Bacterial small subunit ribosomal RNA", at positions 328 to 792 of the family's 1533-position model. The record is from RNAcentral.
UUCCCAGACUCCUACGGGCGGCCGCAGUGGUGCCUUUUGGACACUGGUCGCAAGCCUGCUCCCGCUAUUCCGCGUGUGGGAUGACGGCCCUCGGGUUGUACCCCCCUUUAGUAGCGCCCGCAAAGGAGCUCUCGCAUAAAUAGCUCUGCUGACGGUCCUCUCCGAAUAAGCACCGGCUAACUACGUGCCCGCAGCCGCGGUCCUCCGUAGGGUGCGAGCGUUAAUCGGAAUUCCGGGGCGUAAAGGGGGUGCAGGCGGCUGAGGAAGACAGAUGUGAAAGCCCCGGGCUGAACCGGGGAACCGCAUAGGGGACGGCGGGGCUAGAGGGCGGCAGAGGGAGGGGGAAUUCCACGGGGAGCAGUGAAAGGCGGAGAUAUGUGGAAGAACACCGAUGGCGAAGGCAGCCUCCGGGGACGCAACUGACGCGCAUACACGACAGCGGGGGGAGCAAACAGGAGGAGAGACCCCGGUA